AGUGAACGCUGGCGGUAGGCCUAACACAUGCCAGUCGAACGGCAGCACAGUAAGAGCUUGCUCUUACGGGUGGCGAGUGGCGGACGGGUGAGGAAUACAUCGGAAUCUACUUUUUCGUGGGGGAUAACGUAGGGAAACUUACGCUAAUACCGCAUACGACCUACGGGUGAAAGCAGGGGAUCUUCGGACCUUGCGCGAUUGAAUGAGCCGAUGUCGGAUUAGCUAGUUGGCGGGGUAAAGGCCCACCAAGCCGACGAUCCGUAGCUGGUCUGAGAGGAUGAUCAGCCACACUGGAACUGAGACACGGUCCAGACUCCUACGGGAGGCAGCAGUGGGGAAUAUUGGACAAUGGGCGCAAGCCUGAUCCAGCCAUACCGCGUGGGUGAAGAAGGCCUUCGGGUUGUAAAGCCCUUUUGUUGGGAAAGAAAAGCAGCAGGUUAAUACCCCGCUGUUCUGACGGUACCCAAAGAAUAAGCACCGGCUAACUUCGUG
This 492-nucleotide ribosomal RNA is filed under the name uncultured bacterium. Its description in RNAcentral is "partial 16S ribosomal RNA". It matches the Rfam family "Bacterial small subunit ribosomal RNA", at positions 29 to 507 of the family's 1533-position model. The record is from RNAcentral.